AGAUGUUCCAGUGGCUUUGACCGCUACCGCCAGGAGUGGCUGGCCUACGGCUGUGCCCAGGAGGCUGAGGGCAGGACAUGCGAGGACUUCCAGGACGAGGACCACUACUCUGCCUCCCCCGAUAGCUCCUUCAGCCCCUUUGACCGAGACCUGUCCACCACCUCCUCCUCCCUCUCCAUUGACAGCCUCACCACGGAAGAUGACACCAAGUUGAAUCCCUAUGCAGGAGAAGACGG
Molecule: long non-coding RNA, 236 nt
Organism: Galeopterus variegatus (Sunda flying lemur)
Lineage: Eukaryota; Metazoa; Chordata; Mammalia; Dermoptera; Cynocephalidae
Exons: 3
Source: RefSeq, a predicted model, not a curated record